CCAGCAGCUGCGGUAAUUCCAGCUCCAAUAGCGUAUAUUAGAGUUGUUGCAGUUAAAAAGCUCGUAGUUGGAUUUCAAGAAAUGCAUCUAGAAAUAGUUUGCUUUCUACCAGUCUUUGACUGUUACUGUGAGAAAAUUAGAGUGUUUCAAGCAGGCAAUUGCAGGAAUACAUUAGCAUGGAAUAACGAAUGUAUCUACAAUUUGGUUGAUUGUAGGUUUCGAUUAAUAGGGACAGUUGGGGGCAUUAGUAUUUAAUUGUCAGAGGUGAAAUUCUUGGAUUAGUUAAAGACUAACGUAUGCGAAAGCAUUUGCCAAGGAUGUUUUCA
Molecule: ribosomal RNA, 326 nt
Filed under: uncultured eukaryote
Lineage: Eukaryota
Description: SSU rRNA
Rfam family: Eukaryotic small subunit ribosomal RNA
Source: RNAcentral